AUGACUUAAGCAUAGGUAAGGAAAAUAAUGGUUCAGGGUGACAUCAGAGUCCUUGUUGCUUAUAUGAGAAUUUUUUGAGCUGGUAAAAUUGGCCCCAAAGGAAACCUGUGUACAUUACAGGAUGCUUACAUAUAGUAACAUGCCUG
Small nuclear RNA from Grammomys surdaster, 146 nucleotides. RefSeq annotates it as U12 minor spliceosomal RNA. Lineage: Eukaryota; Metazoa; Chordata; Mammalia; Rodentia; Muridae. The transcript has a single exon. The record is from RefSeq and is a predicted model, not a curated record.